Tripterygium wilfordii is the source of this 1085-nucleotide long non-coding RNA. RefSeq lists it as uncharacterized. The record is from RefSeq and is a predicted model, not a curated record. The transcript has 2 exons. Lineage: Eukaryota; Viridiplantae; Streptophyta; Magnoliopsida; Celastrales; Celastraceae.
GGAAAAAACAUUUGGGUGGCAAAUUUGUAGAUAAGGCUUGGUAAGAUUUAUAAUUAUUAAAUAGUUGAAAAGGUGGGGGACAAGAUAGUCCUUAUACUGUAACUUGCCGAAUUAAUAAAAGGGAUCAAAAACUUUUCCAAAAUGGAAAGCUCUCUCCUCUCUCCUCUCUCCUCUCUCCUCACGCACUCUCCCUCACCGGCAGUCGACGGAACUUCGUUUUCCGGCCACCAUUUUGAUCCUCGUUUGUUCAAAAAGAACCACCACAGCCGCAGAAAGAUAACCCGACCAACCCCACCUCGAACCGUCACCCGUAGCCACCGGAAUCGAGCUUGGAAACUCGUGGCCAACUUGAGGAAUAAGUCACCGAUCCGACCGUUUCCGGUAAUGAAUUCGCAGACCGUCACCACCUUCAUUCUGGCAGAUUACUACCUUCCCAAACCAAAUUCCGACUGAAACAACCCCCGGAGACUGGAGAUCGGUCUCCGGGACAGAAUACGCGUAUAGUGGGACAGGUGAAAGGGAGGAUCAAUCAAGUUUCAAGAAGUGGGCAAUAAUUCAAGACGUGAUUGAUUAGGAUCUUCAGCGGCUCUAAAUCCUCCACAAAUCUUUCAAAAACAAAGCAUCAUCUAUUCUAAUCGAAUCUAAUAUAAUGGGCGAGGCAAGCUUGGAUUGCCGACACCUGUCCUCCAUUGCUAUCCAGGCGAGUUUCAUGAUUUGUCUACCCAUGCGAGGUGGCCUGUUUCUGUUCAAGACUUUUUGAGCUUCUUUGGUGACAAUCUCGGCUUGGGCCCACUUUAAAAUGAAAGCAUCAGAGUCUUUGGCCCACUUUCGUUGUGGAGUGGAAGUGUGGAACUAAGAAAUCAGUGGCACAACACGACAACUCAAGUACUUGAGAACAUGUGUGAUCCAAUGAAAGCAGGCCCAAGUCACGAUCAAUGGUGUUGUUGGCUUGCGACACCUGUCCAAGAAGUGAUGACCCAUUAUGGUUUUAGGUGAAAUUCUUGAAAUUGUUUUAAUCUCAUCCAUUUAUGGAAUCUUAUGGUCUUUUAAAUUGCCACGUCAUAGAGGAUGACACUUUGCAGUAA